GUGACGAUCGUACAUGUCUU
RNAcentral lists this microRNA (20 nucleotides) under Schistosoma japonicum. RNAcentral describes it as "sja-miR-3502". The record is from miRBase by way of RNAcentral. Lineage: Eukaryota; Metazoa; Platyhelminthes; Trematoda; Strigeidida; Schistosomatidae.